RNAcentral lists this ribosomal RNA (492 nucleotides) under uncultured bacterium. RNAcentral describes it as "partial 16S ribosomal RNA". It matches the Rfam family "Bacterial small subunit ribosomal RNA", at positions 28 to 507 of the family's 1533-position model. The record is from RNAcentral.
GGUGAACGCUGGCGGUAGGCCUAACACAUGCAAGUCGAAUGGCAGCACAGUAAGAGCUUGCUCUUACGGGUGGCGAGUGGCGGACGGGUGAGGAAUACAUCGGAAUCUACUUUUUCGUGGGGGAUAACGUAGGGAAACUUACGCUAAUACCGCAUACGACCUACGGGUGAAAGCAGGGGAUCUUCGGACCUUGCGCGAUUGAAUGAGCCGAUGUCGGAUUAGCUAGUUGGCGGGGUAAAGGCCCACCAAGGCGACGAUCCGUAGCUGGUCUGAGAGGAUGAUCAGCCACACUGGAACUGAGACACGGUCCAGACUCCUACGGGAGGCAGCAGUGGGGAAUAUUGGACAAUGGGCGCAAGCCUGAUCCAGCCAUACCGCGUGGGUGAAGAAGGCCUUCGGGUUGUAAAGCCCUUUUGUUGGGAAAGAAAAGCAGCAGGUUAAUACCCCGCUGUUCUGACGGUACCCAAAGAAUAAGCACCGGCUAACUUCGUG